Long non-coding RNA from Eurytemora carolleeae, 314 nucleotides. RefSeq lists it as uncharacterized. The record is from RefSeq and is a predicted model, not a curated record. Lineage: Eukaryota; Metazoa; Arthropoda; Copepoda; Calanoida; Temoridae. The transcript has 2 exons.
AUUAUAUAAACUAUGCUAUGGAUUAUAAAAAAUAACUUUUUAUAGUCUGAUAAGCUGUGCCGGAGCCGGAAUAAGAGAGAAAUAUUUGAGGACCAUUUCCUACCCUUAACAACUUUCCUGUUCAAUAGAAGAAAAUCACUGGGUGUCGGCAGGAAGACAAUCAGAGUUUAAUCAUCGGCUUAAAUAUACAACAUGGCGAUAAAAUAUUUAUGUCUAUUGCUUUUUCUCAAUCUCUUUUGGGGAGUUGUCCCUUUGAAAGUAAAAUAAAUAAAUGUAAUGUUUGUCAAUUUAUCUAAAUAAAAUGUCUUCUGUUU